RNAcentral lists this ribosomal RNA (465 nucleotides) under uncultured bacterium. Its description in RNAcentral is "bacterial SSU rRNA". It matches the Rfam family "Bacterial small subunit ribosomal RNA", at positions 355 to 825 of the family's 1533-position model. The record is from RNAcentral.
CCGGGAAUUUUGCGCAAUGUACGAAAGUCUGACGCAGCAACGCCGCGUGAGGGAUGACGGCCUUCGGGUUGUAAACUGCUUUUGCCAGGGGAUAAAAUUUCCAUGCGUGGAGAAUUGAAGGUACCUGGUGAAUAAGCCACGGCUAACUACGUGCCAGCAGCCGCGGUAAUACGUAGGUGGCAAGCGUUGUCCGGAUUUAUUGGGUUUAAAGGGUGCGUAGGCGGUUCCAUAAGUCAGUGGUGAAAUACAAUAGCUUAACUAUUGAGGUGCCAUUGAUACUGCGGAACUUGAGUACAGACGAGGUAGGCGGAAUUGACGGUGUAGCGGUGAAAUGCGUAGAUAUCGGGAGGAACACCUGAGGCGAAGGCGGGCUACUAGGCUGAUACUGACGCUGAGGCGCGAAAGCCAGGGGAGCAAACGGGAUUAGAUACCCUUGUAGUCCCUGAGCGGGCUGGCAAGGCGCAU